This 97-nucleotide ribosomal RNA is filed under the name Enterobacter asburiae. Its description in RNAcentral is "partial 16S ribosomal RNA". It matches the Rfam family "Bacterial small subunit ribosomal RNA", at positions 1 to 95 of the family's 1533-position model. The record is from RNAcentral. Lineage: Bacteria; Pseudomonadati; Pseudomonadota; Gammaproteobacteria; Enterobacterales; Enterobacteriaceae. RNAcentral also lists the same sequence under 4 other names.
AAAUUGAAGAGUUUGAUCAUGGCUCAGAUUGAACGCUGGCGGCAGGCCUAACACAUGCAAGUCGAGCGGCAGCGGAAAGUAGCUUGCUACUUUGCCG